This 292-nucleotide ribosomal RNA is filed under the name uncultured bacterium. RNAcentral's name for it is "partial 16S ribosomal RNA". It matches the Rfam family "Bacterial small subunit ribosomal RNA", at positions 505 to 796 of the family's 1533-position model. The record is from RNAcentral.
GUGCCAGCAGCCGCGGUAAGACGAACCGUGCGAACGUUGUUCGGAUUCACUGGGCUUAAAGGGCGCGUAGGCGGAUCGGCAAGUCUGGGGUGAAAGCCCCCGGCUCAACCGGGGAAUUGCCUGGGAUACUGCCGAUCUUGAGCGAGGUAGGGGCAGCUGGAACUUCCGGUGGAGCGGUGAAAUGUGUUGAUAUCGGAAGGAACUCCGGUGGCGAAAGCGAGCUGCUGGACCUCUUCUGACGCUGAGGCGCGAAAGCCAGGAGAGCAAACGGGAUUAGAAACCCUCGUAGUCC